This 71-nucleotide transfer RNA is filed under the name bacterium. RNAcentral describes it as "tRNA-Gly". It matches the Rfam family "tRNA". Rfam says of the family: Transfer RNA (tRNA) molecules are approximately 80 nucleotides in length. Their secondary structure includes four short double-helical elements and three loops (D, anti-codon, and T loops). Further hydrogen bonds mediate the characteristic L-shaped molecular structure. tRNAs have two regions of fundamental functional importance: the anti-codon, which is responsible for specific mRNA codon recognition, and the 3' end, to which the tRNAs corresponding amino acid is attached (by aminoacyl-tRNA synthetases). tRNAs cope with the degeneracy of the genetic code in two manners: having more than one tRNA (with a specific anti-codon) for a particular amino acid; and 'wobble' base-pairing, i.e. permitting non-standard base-pairing at the 3rd anti-codon position. The record is from RNAcentral.
GCGGCCAUAGUUCAGUGGCAGGAUGACUGCUUCCCAAGCAGUAGACGCGAGUUCGAUUCUCGCUGGCCGCA